ACGGAGCCCGCGGGGCGUAGGGCGGAGGCCCAGCCCCAGACGAGGCUGCUCAGGGCACCGGGGCCCGCAGCGAGGUGCUGGGGGCAGCAGGGCCCGUCCUGCCUAGGAGCUGCUGCCGGAGCCUCGGCGUCUCCCUGCCUGCUAUGGCAGAUGCAACUCCCCACAUGGGAAACCAGGAAGAAGAUUUUGCUGAUGAGUGUGAGAAGGUCAGUUCUUCAUUGCUAGUAGAACCUGAAGACUCAUGAAGAGAAAGAAGCUCUGAGGACCUUGCGAAGUGCUGUGAUCAGCUGUAUUCACAUAAUAAUCUCCCCAGAACUGCAAGAAAAAGGAUACAAACCACAUCCAUCUUUGUGAUCUGGAUCCAGACACCGCUUGACAAACUCCAUCUGGUCUGGGUAGCACCGUUC
Molecule: long non-coding RNA, 407 nt
Organism: Rhea pennata
Lineage: Eukaryota; Metazoa; Chordata; Aves; Rheiformes; Rheidae
Exons: 4
Source: RefSeq, a predicted model, not a curated record